GACGAACGCUGGCGGCGUGCCUAAUACAUGCAAGUAGAACGCUGAAGGAGGAGCUUGCUUCUCUGGAUGAGUUGCGAACGGGUGAGUAACGCGUAGGUAACCCGCCUGGUAGCGGGGGAUAACUAUUGGAAACGAUAGCUAAUACCGCAUAAUAGUAGAUGUUGCAUGACAUUUGCUUAAAAGGUGCAAUUGCAUCACUACCAGAUGGACCUGCGUUGUAUUAGCUAGUUGGUGGGGUAACGGCUCACCAAGGCGACGAUACAUAGCCGACCUGAGAGGGUGAUCGGCCACACUGGGACUGAGACACGGCCCAGACUCCUACGGGAGGCAGCAGUAGGGAAUCUUCGGCAAUGGACGGAAGUCUGACCGAGCAACGCCGCGUGAGUGAAGAAGGUUUUCGGAUCGUAAAACUCUGUUGUAAGAGAAGAACGAGUGUGAGAGUGGAAAGUUCACACUGUGACGGUAUCUUACCAGAAAGGGACGGCUAACUACGUG
RNAcentral lists this ribosomal RNA (495 nucleotides) under uncultured bacterium. Its description in RNAcentral is "partial 16S ribosomal RNA". It matches the Rfam family "Bacterial small subunit ribosomal RNA", at positions 28 to 507 of the family's 1533-position model. The record is from RNAcentral.